Non-coding RNA from Paramuricea clavata, 906 nucleotides. Lineage: Eukaryota; Metazoa; Cnidaria; Anthozoa; Malacalcyonacea; Plexauridae. The record is from the annotation of a GenBank genome assembly.
GGUGAUUCUGAUUGGAGGGGAAAAAGGAAACGACAUUCCUUUAAAAGAAGUGAUCAUGUUCGACAUAAAAUCAGGAAAGUAUAGCAUGCUUCCCUCCAUGAAUCAUGCAAGGAGAGGUUCCUCAGCUAUUAUCUCCGGUGACCUCAUUCUUGUGAUAGGCGGCUACGGUAAUAAAGGAGCAACCAGAUCAGUGGAACGUUAUGACGUCAGCGAGAAAAGUUGGAAAGACCUACCGUCCAUGAAAGAAGCACGUGGUCACACAACUGCCGUUGUAUGCCCAACGUUUUGACUGCCUGAGUGAAAUUGACAAUGGUGUCUGGACAUUGAGUGCAAGGAAUUAAGUUUUCAUAUUGAUUUAGAUUCGGAUUUGCCAAGCAAAAAUUAACAAAAUAAAGCCGAUUAAAAAUUGCCGGCCGAAGUCAACUUUUUCCACCUUUGUGAAUAAUUUGAUUAAUUCCUAAUGUGUUUUUCCAAACAAUAUAUCCGACGGUGAUAUCUCUGUUAAGGGUUAUGCAAUAGUUCCAUAAAUUCAAGGUGUCACAGAUCCAAUCAAGAGAAUCUUAAGUAAUUGUAAUAUUAAGGUUGCCUUAAAACCCUAUUUGACUUUAGGCCAUAUUUUCGCAAAGCCAAAAGAUCCUGUUAAAACAAAUCAGAAAACUUAUGCUGUAUAUUCUAUACCAUGCGGUGACUGCGAUUUAAUUUCUAAUUCAAAUUAGCCAUCUUGAAUUUAGUGAGUAAAAACUCUCUAAACGUAUCUUUUUUUUUAAUCUUUAACUUGAAAAAAACAAUUUCUGUUCACACAUACACAAUGCUGAAUAAGUAAGUUCAAAAACAUAACUUUUGAUCAGUAAAUGUACUUCGUUACUGUAUUGAAAACCAUUUUUGAGAAGCCAGUAUGUAACAAAG